GAUGAACGCUGGCGGCGUGCCUAAUACAUGCAAGUCGAGCGAACAGAUGAGGAGCUUGCUCCUCUGACGUUAGCGGCGGACGGGUGAGUAACACGUGGAUAACCUACCUAUAAGACUGGGAUAACUUCGGGAAACCGGAGCUAAUACCGGAUAAUAUAUUGAACCGCAUGGUUCAAUAGUGAAAGACGGUUUUGCUGUCACUUAUAGAUGGAUCCGCGCCGCAUUAGCUAGUUGGUAAGGUAACGGCUUACCAAGGCAACGAUGCGUAGCCGACCUGAGAGGGUGAUCGGCCACACUGGAACUGAGACACGGUCCAGACUCCUACGGGAGGCAGCAGUAGGGAAUCUUCCGCAACGGGCGAAAGCCUGACGGAGCAACGCCGCGUGAGUGAUGAAGGUCUUCGGAUCGUAAAACUCUGUUAUUAGGGAAGAACAAAUGUGUAAGUAACUAUGCACGUCUUGACGGUACCUAAUCAGAAAGCCGCGGCUAACUACGUG
This 497-nucleotide ribosomal RNA is filed under the name uncultured bacterium. RNAcentral's name for it is "partial 16S ribosomal RNA". It matches the Rfam family "Bacterial small subunit ribosomal RNA", at positions 28 to 507 of the family's 1533-position model. The record is from RNAcentral.